RNAcentral lists this ribosomal RNA (483 nucleotides) under uncultured bacterium. RNAcentral describes it as "partial 16S ribosomal RNA". It matches the Rfam family "Bacterial small subunit ribosomal RNA", at positions 28 to 523 of the family's 1533-position model. The record is from RNAcentral.
GACGAACGCUGGCGGCGUGCUUAACACAUGCAAGUCGAACGACGAAGCUGGAGCUUGCUCUAGCGGAUUAGUGGCGAACGGGUGCGUAACACGUGAGCAAUCUGCCCUUGACUCUGGGAUAAUUGCGGGAAACUGUAGCUAAUACCGGAUAAGAGACUUAGAGUCAUCUCUGAGUCUGGAAAGAAUUUAGGUCAAGGGUGAGCUCGCGGCCUAUCAGCUAGUUGGUGAGGUAAUGGCUCACCAAGGCGACGACGGGUAGACGGACUGAGGGUGUGACCGGGCACAGUGGGACUGAGACACGGGCCAGACUCCUACGGGAGGCAGCAGUAGGGGAGAUUGCACAAUGGGCGAAAGCCAGGUGCAGCACCGCCGCGUGAGGGAUGAAAGCCUUCGGGUAGUAAACCUCUUCUAUCAGGGAAGAGGCGAAAGUGACGGUACCUGAAGAAAAAGCACCGGCUAACUACGUGCCAGCCGCCGCCGUAA